RNAcentral lists this ribosomal RNA (497 nucleotides) under uncultured bacterium. RNAcentral describes it as "partial 16S ribosomal RNA". It matches the Rfam family "Bacterial small subunit ribosomal RNA", at positions 28 to 507 of the family's 1533-position model. The record is from RNAcentral.
GAUGAACGCUGGCGGCGUGCCUAAUACAUGCAAGUCGAGCGAACGGACGAGAAGCUUGCUUCUCUGAUGUUAGCGGCGGACGGGUGAGUAACACGUGGAUAACCUACCUAUAAGACUGGGAUAACUUCGGGAAACCGUAGCUAAUACCGGAUAAUAUUUUGAACCGCAUGGUUCAAAAGUGAAAGACGGUCUUGCUGUCACUUAUAGAUGGAUCCGCGCUGCAUUAGCUAGUUGGUAAGGUAACGGCUUACCAAGGCAACGAUGCAUAGCCGACCUGAGAGGGUGAUCGGCCACACGGGAACUGAGACACGGUCCAGACUCCUACGGGAGGCAGCAGUAGGGAAUCUUCCGCAAUGGGCGAAAGCCUGACGGAGCAACGCCGCGUGAGUGAUGAAGGUCUUCGGAUCGUAAAACUCUGUUAUUAGGGAAGAACAUAUGUGUAAGUAACUGUGCACAUCUUGACGGUACCUAAUCAGAAAGCCACGGCUAACUACGUG